This 71-nucleotide transfer RNA is filed under the name Bos taurus (domestic cattle). It matches the Rfam family "tRNA". Rfam says of the family: Transfer RNA (tRNA) molecules are approximately 80 nucleotides in length. Their secondary structure includes four short double-helical elements and three loops (D, anti-codon, and T loops). Lineage: Eukaryota; Metazoa; Chordata; Mammalia; Artiodactyla; Bovidae. RNAcentral also lists the same sequence under 1 other name. The record is from Rfam by way of RNAcentral.
UCUCUGGUGGUCUAGUGGUUGGGAUUUGGCACUUCCAGUGCUGUGGCCCAGGUUCAUUCCUGGUUGGAGAA